Molecule: ribosomal RNA, 443 nt
Filed under: uncultured bacterium
Lineage: Bacteria
Description: partial 16S ribosomal RNA
Rfam family: Bacterial small subunit ribosomal RNA
Source: RNAcentral
CCUACGGGUGGCUGCAGUGGGGAAUAUUGGGCAAUGGGCGCAAGCCUGACCCAGCAACGCCGCGUGAAGGAAGAAGGCUUUCGAGUUGUAAACUUCUUUUCUGAGGGACGAAGAAAGUGACGGUACCGCAGGAAUAAGCCACGGCUGACUAAGUGGCAGCAGCCGCGGUAAUACGUAGGGGGCAAGCGUUAUCCGGAUUUAGUGGGUGUAAAGGGAGUGUAGGCGGGAAAGCAAGUCAGAUGUGAAAACUUAGGGCUCAACCCUGAGCCUGCAUUUGAAACUGUUUUUCUUGAGUGCUGGAGAGGCAAUCGGAAUUCCGGGUGUAGCGGUGAAAUGCGUAGAUAUACGGAGGAACACCAGUGGCGAAGGCGGAUUGCUGGACAGUAACUGACGCUGAGGCGCGAAAGCGUGGGGAGCAAACAGGAUUAGAUACCCUAGUAGUC